Molecule: ribosomal RNA, 490 nt
Filed under: uncultured bacterium
Lineage: Bacteria
Description: partial 16S ribosomal RNA
Rfam family: Bacterial small subunit ribosomal RNA
Source: RNAcentral
AUUGAACGCUGGCGGCAGGCCUAACACAUGCAAGUCGAACGGUAACAGGAAGAAGCUUGCUUCUUUGCUGACGAGUGGCGGACGGGUGAGUAAUGUCUGGGAAACCGCCUGAUGGAGGGGGAUAACAACUGGAAACGGUAGCUAAUACCGCAUAACGUCGCAAGACCAAAGAGGGGGACCUUUGGGGCUCUUGCCAUCGGAUGUGCCCAGAUGGGAUUAGCUAGUAGGUGGGGUAACGGCUCACCUAGGCGACGAUCCCUAGCUGGUCUGAGAGGAUGACCAGCCACACUGGAACUGAGACACGGUCCAGACUCCUACGGGAGGCAGCAGUGGGGAAUAUUGCACAAUGGGCGCAAGCCUGAUGCAGCCAUGCCGCGUGUAUGAAGAAGGCCUUCGGGUUGUAAAGUACUUUCAGCGGGGAGGAAGGGAGUAAAGUUAAUACCUUUGCUCAUUGACGUUACCCGCAGAAGAAGCACCGGCUAACUCCGUG